UCAGAAGGCUUGGAAGAACUAAGAGCAGUGAUUGUUCAACUAAGAAGGGCUAGCCUCAAUAUCCCACUUCUGUACUCUGCUUGCUUGCAUACCUGCACAUUGCCAAAGUAUAAAAAACUUUGGAAAAUUAGACAGGCGACCGCUCAGUCUCCUCUCAAAGAGGGCUGACGGUCCCUAUGCAGGUAAUAAAACUUUUGAACUUGUCGGCGGUCUGGGUUUAGUUUCUGGGAAUGGACAGUAGCUACAACAUUUGGAGGUUCCACCGAGAUCCUACUGCCACUGUCCGAGCCUGGUUAGAAAGGAGACCUCCUUUUACAGGAGUGCUCUCCCCAGAACUAGGGGAUUUCCGAGGAGACGUGCCUUCGCCCCAAUUCAUUUGAUUUGAGCAACCGCCUUUGAAACUGUUUUCCACGCUCAUCAGCCCACCUGGGACGAUUGCCAGCAACUUCUCCAAGUCCCAUUCACAUCGGAGGAAAGGAGCGCAUCCAGAGAAAGGCCCAGAAGGCAGUCAUUGGACCUGAUGGGCAGGCAGCGGGCACUCCCCACUUGAGAGAAACUCUUUUGCCCACUGCAGACCGAUGUGGGAAGCCCUGACCAGUCCCUGCAGGCUGUGCAGCAGGAGAGAAAGAUAAAUCAUCUGGGCCCAACCAAGAAAAAGGUAAAGAGGCAGCCCAACACCUUAGAACCAAGGUGGACUGGCCCAUACCAGGUGAUACAACACCAACUGCUGUUAAAGUAGCGGGGAAAGGCCGUGGAUUCAUCAGUCACAAGUAAAGAAAGCCCUCCCUGAGCAUAUCCCGAAAAGAUGGACACUCAGAGAGAUGGAAAACCCCUUAAAAUUAAGACUUUGCAGAACUUAAUUAUUUUUGUCUGUCUGAAUAUUGCUGACAGCACCCGCCGUUUCCCCCAUCAACCACAAACACAUCUGUGGACUGUUACUCGACCCUCCAGCGGGAAAAAUGUAACCUCUUCCACUGGAUCUGAACCCCUGUUUUCCACUUCGAUUUGUGUGAUUUGUUUGGACCUGAGUUGCAUGUAAAGAUCAUUGGCGGACAUAGAUAUAGUAACUCCUACACCCCAAGGGGAUGCUCGAAUCUAAAUUUUAAAAAACAGCUUAGAAAUUACCAUUUCUAUAUAUGCCCAGCUAAUGAACCCCCUAACUGCCAAGGGGAGGGACAUUACCAUUGUGGGGUUGUAAAACUGUAUCAUCUAAAGAGUGGAAACUUGUUAAAAAAAAAACCCUGAUAUUAUUUUUUUUAAAUGAAACUAAAGUCUGAGGGGUUUAAUCCCACCACUUGUACAGUUUCCAAAUGUAACCCAAUAAAAAUUGGAUUCAAGCGUUAUUAAGAGCAAAAGUGGUUCACUGAGAAAACGUGGAAAAAUUCAACCUUAUAUAAACGGUAAAGAUUCCAGGACAGCCUUUACUAUCCAAAAAAAGUAAAAUGUGGCAACCUCCUGUCCCAUUAGGCCCAAACCUAGUGAUAAAUCCUGAAAAGCCACAGCAGCGUGUCACUAAGAUCCCUUUGCCGCACCCUCCAGACUCUUCAGUGACUUUCCUGUUUACCGCCAACCCAACUCAAAAAGCCCUUCCCAUUCAGGAGCCACCUCAAGGUUCUGUGUUUAAUACUCUGGAUGCUGUAUUCCAAUUCAUGACCUCAACAAAUCCUAACCUCACAGCCGAUUGUUAGCUUUGUCUAAACCCUGCUCCCCCUUACUAUGUAGGUAUAGGUACAAACAGCACUAUUGAUACAGACUGUAAUCAAAUUAAAAAUGUUAGCAUAAAGGAUUACACUAAUCAGCAGUCAGUCUGUAGGUGGGGGUCAGAAUGGGCUCAAUUCUAAGCUCACUUUAAGAAUUUUGCAAGGGCAAGGACUGUGUUUAUAAUCAUCUAAUUAUCCCUUAAAUAUGUCAAGGUAUCGAGAUUUUUGCCUUCAAGCUGUUCCCAUUGAACCAAAUGCUAAUCCUUAUUUGUUAUCUGCUAAGAUGGGUACUGAUUUGCUUGUUCCACAGGACUAAAGCCCUCUCUUUUCCCAGUAUUCAGAGCUGACUCAGGUAUUUGUGUGCUCCUGCAUGUUAUUCCUCAAGUGUACCUGUAUUCUGGUGAAGGAGGUAGGGAUCACUUUGGAAUUUCUAAACGAGUUAAAAGAGCCCCAAUUUCGGUCCCACUGUUAGCAGGGCUCGGGAUUGCUGGGUCAGCCACAGUAGGGUCAGCUGCUUUAAUACAAGGAAACUUAAACUAUCAGACUCUUAGUUAGCAAAUUGAUUUGGAUUUGCAAGGAUUAAAAAAUCAGUUUCCCAUUUAGAAAACUCCUUAGACUCCCUUGCAAAAGUUGUGUUGCAAAACCGCCGAGGGCAUGACUUGCUCUUUUUGAAACAAGGAGGGCUGUGCAUGGCGUUAGAAGGAACUUGUUGUUUUUAUGCAAACCAUUCAGAAAUCAUUAAAAAUAGUUGAGCCCUGGUUAGGAAAAAAUUAAAGGAAAAAGAAAAAAAAAAGAAUUGGUUAAAAAAGCUAUUUAAUUGGUCACCCUGACUAACUACCCUAGUAACAGCCCUAGCCAGGCCCCUAGUCCUCCUCCGGUUAAGCCUUACAUUUGGACCAAUAAUAAUCAAUAAGCUAGUGGCAUUUGUUACACAAAAAGUACAAGCCAUAAAACUCUUGAUGCUAAGCCCACCAUACACCCGGCUGGCGAAAGCAAAUUCAGUAAUUUGAACUUGGCUAAGAACAGGAGGGAAUGUAGUAGCUCCAGGAAAAGCUUAAACAGCCCUGACAAGAGUGAAGCCAUUCUGAGCUGACAGAAGCCAUUAUGAACUAUAAAUGAACUAGCUAUAAACUAUAAAUAAACUAGCUGAUAGUAGGGAGGGAGGCUGUGCUGAGAAGCUCAACAGAUUGUACCAAAGGAAAUGUAUGUUCAGAAGGCUUGGAAGAACUAAGAGCAGUGAUUGUUCAACUAAGAAGGGCUAGCCGCAAUAUUCUGCUUCUGUACUCUGCUUGCUUGCAUACCUGCACGUUGCAAAAGUAUAAAAAAACUGGAAAAUUAGACAGGCGACCGCUCAGUCUCCCCUCAAAGAGAGCUGAGGGUCCCUGCACAGGUAAUAAAACUUUUUCUUUUGAAGUUGUCGGCGGUCUGGGUUGUUUAGUUUCUGGGAAUGGACAGUAGCUACAACAAUAGAUUUGAGUGAAAAUGAGCUUUCCUUUGGGGUAGAAAACAAGAAAUAAUUAAAUGUUUUUAAACUUGCAAGAUAUGACAAAAUACCAAUUUAUAAACUAUCAAGGGCU
Echinops telfairi (small Madagascar hedgehog) is the source of this 3277-nucleotide long non-coding RNA. RefSeq lists it as uncharacterized. The transcript is spliced from 3 exons. The record is from RefSeq and is a predicted model, not a curated record. Lineage: Eukaryota; Metazoa; Chordata; Mammalia; Afrosoricida; Tenrecidae.